GGGGGCGUAUUGGCUUCGACGGGGAUGUUGAGGCGAGGUAAGCGGGUCGUGGCGUCAUCCACGUUAAAAGGGCACCCUAUAAAUUAAAGAACAACGAUAACGAAGUUCUUCUCGCUGCUUAAGCAGUGAGUGUCCCGCCCCGGAGGACCACGGCCGGGGAUGCGGGCAUGAAGCAGUGGUGACCGUGAGGCGGCCAAGCUUUGCCCCGCCCACGCAUCAUGAAGCUACUGAAUCCUUUGGCCUGUGGGUCGGCGAUUGGAUAAGGGAAUGUAAAUGACCCUCUGCACCCGGAGAAAGCCGCGCGGAGAUGUUUUCGGACAGGGGUUCGACACCCCUCGCCUCCACCA
RNAcentral lists this transfer-messenger RNA (347 nucleotides) under Oscillospiraceae bacterium. It matches the Rfam family "transfer-messenger RNA". From Rfam's summary of the family: Bacterial tmRNA, also known as 10Sa RNA or SsrA, is named for its dual tRNA and mRNA-like properties. Its role is to liberate the mRNA from a stalled ribosome. To accomplish this part of the tmRNA is used as a reading frame that ends in a translation stop signal. The record is from RNAcentral. Lineage: Bacteria; Bacillati; Bacillota; Clostridia; Eubacteriales; Oscillospiraceae.